Molecule: long non-coding RNA, 2782 nt
Filed under: Anser brachyrhynchus (Pink-footed goose)
Lineage: Eukaryota; Metazoa; Chordata; Aves; Anseriformes; Anatidae
Description: lncRNA (ENSABRG00000002001.1)
Source: RNAcentral
CUGCCCGCUCCCCUCUCCCCCACCCAGCCCUUCCCGUGGGACUUUUUCCCCUGCCCUUCUGGGCGUCCUGCGGCCCCUUACCUGGGCAGGAGACCGGCCUUGGCUCCUCUGCCCCCAUUAAACUCCUUCCUGGGGCCGAGUGGCUCUGGCACCGGGCAGGUUUGGUGCUGGUCUCGCAUCUUCCCCUUCUCCCCGCCGCGUCAGCUGGAGGACGAAGCCCGGAGCGGUGCGGGGUGGGCUCCUCAAAGUUCCCCUGCUGCUGCUGCCCGCUUGUGCUGGGUCUCAGGUCCUGCCCGUCCUGGUGCAAGCAGCUCCUUCCUCUGGUGUUGGCUGGCUCUGCGUGCGGAGCCAUCUGUCCUGGGGAGCGGCUGCUGCUGCUCCUGGCAACUCCUUCAGCUGUAGCAGAGCCGCCUUUUUGCUGGGUGUCUCCUGCUAACCAGGUCGCUUCCUCCUGUUUCCCUGGGUUUGUUAUAAAUCCGUCUGUGUAUGUUUUAAUUUGACCUGCGACCUCUUGGAAAGUCAAGGUAAAGGGGACAGGGAAAGUAAGUUGUGAGUCUCAAGAAGCCCGCCGAGUGAUUGAGUUGGGUCCCGGUGGUGCACGGACAGCUGAAGGCAUUUAUAGAUGCUAAAGGGGAGGGGAAGAGGGAUCUUCCUUCGGGGUGAACCAUGUAUCCGCAAAGACUUGCAGGGUGUGAAAUGGUGCUUUUUGUUUUUCAUGACCUUGAGUUCAGAGACUGAGAAACGCGGGCACAUCCAAACAGUUAGGAAUCGCAUCGCUCAGCUGAGAACGGGCCCGGCUGCUUUGGGGACGCUCUCCGCCUUGCUGGAGCUUUUUGGAAGGGCAGCAGGCCAGAGGUUUGGACUUUGGAGCUCGGCUCUGCAGGGUGCUCGGCCGUGUUGCUGCCUUAGCGCGUGUCUGCUUUGGGACCAUUCGAUGGUAAAACGAUGGGGUUGUUUGCGUUACGGGUGUCAGCGCUCUGCUCCUAGACUUCGAGCAAGUGUUUCAGGAAAAUUAGAAGAGCCAGCUGCGGAAAGCCAGUGAAUCUUCUUUGCACUGCAGGAGCAGGAGAGUCGGAGAAGUGAAGCACCGCUAACCGCAGGUGGGACGGGGUCUGCGCUUCAGGGUGCGGUUUGAGGAGAGGCUGGUACUGGGGACGGGGUGGUGGCGAUGCUCCUGAAGGGUGAUCGUGAAACGUGCUUCAGUGGUCCUCUAAAAAAGGACCAGAAAAGGUCUCGGUGAUCUCUUAGGUGUAGGCACAGUGGCGCUGCUUGUGUGAUCAUCGCUGGUACCAACAGCGUGGCUUUAUCCCAAAUUGUCCUUAAGUGGGACUUUAUCCUCUCGUUUCAUGAGUUGGUUGCGCUGGUUUAGGGAACAGCCAGGGAACUGCACGAGUGGUUAGGAAAUGGUAUUUCUGAAAGUGAACAGAACUUGUACGGCAGUGAGGUUUUGCCGAGAGAUGUCCUACAGAGAGCGACGUGCCUUUGGGGGUGGCGUUUGGACGGGCUCUCCGAAGGGACUCGGUGACUGGAAGCCUAUACGAGCCUAAGGGGUCGGAGGCGCUGGUUAUUCUUCUCCAGUUAGUUGUGGUUACUUUCCAGGAGCCUUACAAGGCUUAGGGGUUUUCACGCUUUCUACUGGGGUCAGUUUUUAGCUAAAUUGGAGGCAGAUGAUCCCCGUGUGCAACGGUGUGGUGCAGAAUUAGGUAUUUGUGGUGAGUGUGGGUCUGGGGCUGUGACCGGCUGUGCCUGAUGGAAAAAGUCUGACCUGGAAUGGGAGUUUGGGACUCCCUAAUUCCUAGCCUGUGAUUCCACAAUAAUUUAAGCUUGCCAAGGACUUUGCAGCUGUAGUUUCUUACUGCUGAAUACCUCUCGAGCAGCAAAGAACAGCAAGAAAAGCUCCUCGAGUCUCCUUGGCCAAGCACGCGUGUGUUCUGGGAGGCCUUUAUGCGUUUAACAGCGUUCAGUCAAACCUCUGUGUAAGCCAGAGAGACACCUUAGACUCAUGUUUUCCCAUUUGACUGUUUUUUUCCAGGCCUGUCCUCUUUUUUUUAAUAGUCAAACACUACAAAGUUUGCAUUGGCAUCUCAGGUAUGCCAGCCACUCAACAAUUUGCUGGUGUAUAGCCUUGGAUGCCGGUGUUAGUACGUUUAAGGUCAGUUUUGCAUCAAAUGUUUUGUUUUAGACCCUUAUUCACCCAGCUUUGCCAACCAAAGGACUGAUUUCGUGGGUGAUUUUGUUGACCUUUAACUGUUACGAGCUAAAGUGAAGACGUUGAUCUCUUGAGACCUGCUGAAGGAUGGUCUGCUGUGGACACCUCCAAGUUACUGCUGGGAAGCUCCACGGCACAGCUGCAAUCCUACAAAUCCUUGGUAUCACUCGCAGAGACACCAACCUGCGGUGUGUUCCUGUGCUCCUUCAGAAAAUGCGCGUGAAAUGAACUCCAGAACGCGUACAGCUUCGUGGCAGAAGAGACUUUGUUGGAGGGGAAGGGAAUUUGAGUCUGUCUUAAGGAGCAGGGGGAUUCCGAUGCUCAUAUUUUCUUCUGAACGUCCCGGUCGCACGGUCAGAGAGUAAAUUUACGGUAUUAUUAGUGGUUUUGCAGUAACUUAUUGAGAAGUAAAUGGGCUUCUUGGUGUGGGUUCUUUAUCUCUGCCGUGUGCAGAGUGGGAGGUCUGUGCCUUUCCAAGACCACGCGUUUCCCCAGGUGUAUGCUUCAGGUCAUUGGGUGAACUGUUGUGGCAGGUCGGUGUCAAAUAAAAAGGAGUUGUCUAGAAAUUAGCCA